This 469-nucleotide ribosomal RNA is filed under the name uncultured bacterium. Its description in RNAcentral is "partial 16S ribosomal RNA". It matches the Rfam family "Bacterial small subunit ribosomal RNA", at positions 28 to 507 of the family's 1533-position model. The record is from RNAcentral.
GACGAACGCUGGCGGCGUGCUUAACACAUGCAAGUCGAACGGAAAGGCCCUGCUUGCAGUGUGCUCGAGUGGCGAACGGGUGAGUAACACGUGGGUGAUCUGCCCCUUACUUUGGGAUAAGCCUGGUAAACUGGGUCUAAUACUGGAUAGGACCAUGCUGUAGGUGGUGUGGUGGAAAGAUUAGUUUCGGUAAGGGAUGAGCUCGCGGCCUAUCAGCUUGUUGGUGGGGUAAUGGCCUACCAAGGCGUCGACGGGUAGCCGGCCUGAGAGGGUGGACGGCCACAUUGGGACUGAGAGACGGCCCAGACUCCUACGGGAGGCAGCAGUGGGGAAUAGUGCACAAGGGGCGCAAGCCUGAUGCAGCGACGCCGCGUGGGGGAUGACGGCCUUCGGGUUGUAAACUCCUUUCAGCCAUGACGAAGCCCUUGUGGUGACGGUAGUGGUAGAAGAAGCACCGGCUAACUACGUG